GAUAAUUAGUUUUGUUUGGGUUAUUAAAGCUACAAAUUAUAAGGAUAUAAUCAUGUAAUUAGGUAAUGAAGCACUCAACAGCGGCAGUGUCCAAACUCCCUUCAUCCGCCGGAGCAACGACGGUUGUGGCCAACAUUCGGAUUGAUUGGAAACAUACGCCGGAGGCCCAUCACUCAAAGGUGGAUACCGCAAGCUUUGAGAUGCGGCCAAUUAUUUCCCUAUUUCUAACUGGCGAAGAAAUCAACUAGUUUCCUUUAAUGGUAGAGAGGACGAUUUCAGUUGUUGUAGAGGGUGGCUCUCCGACAUGUGCGGCGGGAGACACACCUUUAUAGUACUCUGACAAGUAGUUGUUUGGGUUUAGGUUGGGGAUGGGUUUUGGGUGGGAUAAGGGUGGA
RNAcentral lists this long non-coding RNA (395 nucleotides) under Erythranthe guttata (spotted monkey flower). RNAcentral describes it as "long non-coding RNA (EGUT_LNC002357)". The record is from RNAcentral. Lineage: Eukaryota; Viridiplantae; Streptophyta; Magnoliopsida; Lamiales; Phrymaceae.